Molecule: ribosomal RNA, 425 nt
Filed under: uncultured bacterium
Lineage: Bacteria
Description: partial 16S ribosomal RNA
Rfam family: Bacterial small subunit ribosomal RNA
Source: RNAcentral
GUGGGGAAUCUUGCGCAAUGGGCGAAAGCCUGACGCAGCCAUGCCGCGUGAAUGAUGAAGGUCUUAGGAUUGUAAAAUUCUUUCACCGGGGACGAUAAUGACGGUACCCGGAGAAGAAGCUCCGGCUAACUUCGUGCCAGCAGCCGCGGUAAUACGAAGGGGGCUAGCGUUGCUCGGAAUUACUGGGCGUAAAGGGCGCGUAGGCGGACAGCUUAGUCAGAGGUGAAAGCCCAGGGCUCAACCUUGGAAUUGCCUUUGAUACUGGCUGUCUUGAGUUUGGGAGGAGUGAGUGGAACUCCGAGUGUAGAGGUGAAAUUCGUAGAUAUUCGGAAGAACACCAGUGGCGAAGGCGACUCACUGGCCCAAUACUGACGCUGAGGCGCGAAAGCGUGGGGAGCAAACAGGAUUAGAUACCCCAGUAGUCC